GAUAGCUAUAGCAGGCCCGAGCCACUUGGGUGUCUGGUACAGAUAGAUAUAGCAGGCCCAAGCCAGUUGGGUGUCUGGUACAAAUAGAUAUAGCAGGCCCAAGCCAGUUGGGUGUGUGGUACAGAUAGAUAUAGCAGGCCCAAGCCAGUUGGGUGUCUGGUACAGAUAGCUAUGGCAGGCCCAAGCCAGUUGGGUGUCUGGUACAGAUAGCUAUGGCAGGCCCAAGCCAGUUGGGUGUCUGGUACAGAUAGAUAUAACAGGCCCAAGCCAGUUGGGUGUUUGGUACAGAUAGCUAUGGCAGGCCCAAGCCAGUUGGGUGUCUGGUACAGAUAGAUAUAGCAGGCCCGAGCCAGUUAAGUGUCUGGUACAGAUAGCUAUGGCAGGCCCAAGCCAGUUGGGUGUCUGGUACAGAUAGAUAUAGCAGGCCCGAGCCAGUUAAGUGUCUGGUACAGAUAGCUAUGGCAGGCCCAAGCCAGUUGGGUGUCUGGUACAGAUAGAUAUAGCAGGCCCGAGUCAGUUAAGUGUCUGGUACAGAUAGCUAUGGCAGGCCCAAGCCAGUUGGGUGUCUGGUACAGAUAGAUAUAGCAGGCCCGAGUCAGUUGGGUGUCUGCUACAGAUAGCUAUGGCAGGCCCAAGCCAGUUAAGUGUCUGGUACAGAUAGCUAUGGCAGUCCCAAGCCAAUUGGGUGUGUGGUACAGAUAGAUAUAGCAGGCCCAAGCCAGUUAGGUGUCUGGUACAGAUAGCUAUGGCAGUCCCGAGCCAGUUGGGUGUGUGGUACAGAUAGAUAUAGCAGGCCCAAGCCAGUUGGGUGUCUGGUACAGAUAGAUAUAGCAGGCCCGAGCCAGUUAAGUGUCUGGUACAGAUAGCUAUGGCAGGCCCAAGCCAGUUAAGUGUCUGGUACAGAUAGUUAUGGCAGGCCCGAGCCAGUUGGGUGUCUGGUACAGAUAGAUAUGGCAGGCCCGAGCCAGUUGGGUGUCUGGUACAGAUAGAUAUGGCAGGCCCGAGCCAGUUGGGUGUCUGGUACAGAUAGAUAUGGCAGGCCCAAGCCAGUUGGGUUUCUGGUACAGAUAGCUAUGGCAGGUCCAAGCCAAUUAAGUGUCUGGUACAGAUAGCUAUGGCAGGCCCGAGCCAGUUGGGUGUCUGGUACAGAUAGCUAUGGCAGGCCCGAGCCAGUUAAGUGUCUGGUACAGAUAGAUAUAGCAGGCCCAAGCCAGUUAAGUGUCUGGUACAGAUAGAUAUAGCAGGCCCAAGCCAGUUAAGUAUCUGGUACAGAUAGAUAUAGCAGGCCCAAGCCAGUUAAGUGUCUGGUACAGAUAGAUAUAGCAGGCCCAAGCCAGUUGGGUGUCUGGUACAGAUAGAUAUAGCAGGCCCAAGCCAGUUAAGUGUCUGGUACAGAUAGCUAUGGCAGGCUCAAGCCAGUUAGGUGUCUGGUACAAAUAGAUUUAGCAGGCUCAAGCCAGUUAGGGAGGCACCAGCCUGCUUAAGGAGGGACAAACCAAUCCAGGUCAAAAACUGAGUAGGUCAGAACUCCCAUGCCAGUCAGUAGUAGCAUCAAUCCCAUGAGUGGCCAUUGUACUUCCAGUCCACCCAGUGUUUGUCCUCAUCUCCUUUCCCAUCAAAAAAAAAAAAAAAAAAGGUUUGUGGUUUCCUACAAGUGGGAAUGGAAUUUACAUUGGGGCAUCCCUGCUUUCCCACCCAGUCCCCUUCUGACUUGUAACACAAGUAAACAAGCAAAUGCCAGGUGUCUUUCAAGGAUCCAGUAUGUUCAGUUGGAACCAGUAAAGACAAUUGUGUGUAUAUUAACAAGUUUGUAAUAUGUGCAAUUAUACAUACAUAUGUUUGUUGUGUUUGUACACAUAUUUGCGUGUGCAUGUACAUAGACAGAAACAUAAGUAUAACUAUGAUUAUAUAUUUCUGCUAAUGUGAAUGUUUGCCUUUUUAAAAACCUCCAGUCUGUUAUGUCUCUCUGAGUUUGUGAGAGCCCCUCUGUUCUCCACCUCUGGGACACAAAAGGCCAAAGUGGUUACAAGUUACAGCAUGAACAUCCCUAGAGCCUGUAUGAGUUUGCCACAGGGAGAAACCAGUUUUCUAAGGAAGGUUUUGAAGACAUGAAAAAGUUUCGUCCAGGCUCUGUCCCGCUCACAGGCAGAACUAUAACGAGAAGUCCUUUGGUCAGAGCAACCGUUUGGAUUGGGAGGCAGUUGGGAGAGACAAAAUUGGGGUGCUGUGGGGUUGACCUGUGGGCAGUUAUGUCUCAGUAGAGCUGUUCUAACACAUAAAGACACUAAGGCAAAGCACUGAGGGUGGUUUGGGGGAAAAAAUUUGUUUUUUCCCUGGACAGUCUCCUCAUCCCAUCCCAAUCCCCUUAACCCUUUAGGGCAGAGGUCCUCAAACUUUUUAAAUGGGGGGCCAGUUCACUGUCCCUCAGGCUGUUGGAAGGUUGGACUAUAGUAAAAAACAAAAACUUUGUUUUGUGGGCCUUUAAAUAAAGAAACUUCAUAGCCCUGGAUGUGGGGGAUAAACGUCCUUAAGUGCUGCAUCUGGCCCGAGGUAGUUUGAGGACCCCUACAGAGCAAAACUAGUGAUCUUGUGAUGGUUAUAGCUCUAAUCAAAAUGAGCUUCAUCCAAAUAAGGUAAGAAGAAAGGGAAAGAGACUAGAAAACUCCCUUGUUAAAAGCUGUAAAAAGUUAGAUAUUAAAGGACUAUUCCUAAUCUAAAAGCUCUUUAACAUAAUUCUAUAAUCACUUAUAAUUAUGUCGUAUUGAGACAUACACAAGAGCAGACACAAUGUGGUUAAUACUUGGAACAUUAACAAAUUGCCUGCAGUCUAAACCACUUUAAUAUGUACUGAAGAAUAGGAAUGAAUGAAUGAAUGAAUGAAAAAGCAUUUAUUAAGCUAUUAACUGUAUUUCAAACACUAUGCUAAGUAUUAAUAAGCAAAGAUAGUCCUUGCCCUUACAGAGCUUAUAUUCUAAUAGGGAGAGACAUCACACAUAUAAAGGAGUGGUGGCCAGGAUCAGGCUUUAAUGUUGAUGAGUGUAUAUUGCUGCAGGAUAUAUCCUUUCUUUUAGGAAUAAUGACCAUUUACUUGGGUCAAAGGCUUUCCUAGAUUCCAUUUAAGGUCUUUUAAAAUAACCUGUGUUUAAAUUCUGCAUCAACUUGGAAAUGGGUAUUUUCAGGACUCUGAUUCUGGGAUAAGAUAGCAGUUUUAAUCAACUUAUUUUUCUCUUUCAGGACUAUGAAGGUAGUAGCUUUUGUUUUUUUAACUAAAUCAAAGAGCAUACUGUCAUCUUAUGUCUUCAACAGAUCCUAUAACCUUAGUUUAUCCAAAUUUUAUGAUAUAUUGCUUUGCACAUUAACAUUUAGGAGCCCACAUUAGGGGGAUGAAGGCUAAAAGCAUCAGCUGUCAUUUUCAGUUCUUUUGAUGACUUUGGCCAUGGUUUUGGCCAUAGAUAGUCAGAAAUAGAGAGGAAGUUUCAGAAGUAGAUGAAAUAAGGAAGUUUGAUGAAAAUGGAGAUUCAGGCUUUCUUCAGUGUUACCUCCACAGGAUAAUGAUCACUGAUGGCUAGAGCCUAAACAAAACAAAACAAAACAAAAC
Molecule: long non-coding RNA, 3598 nt
Organism: Antechinus flavipes (yellow-footed antechinus)
Lineage: Eukaryota; Metazoa; Chordata; Mammalia; Dasyuromorphia; Dasyuridae
Exons: 4
Source: RefSeq, a predicted model, not a curated record